GAGUUUGAUCCUGGCUCAGGAUGAACGCUAGCGGCAGGCUUAACACAUGCAAGUCGAGGGGUAACGGGGAAGCUUGCUUCCGCCGACGACCGGCGCACGGGUGCGUAACGCGUAUACAAUCUACCUUAUACUGGGGUAUAGCCUUUAGAAAUGAAGAUUAACCCCCCAUAGUCUCUUAGAGUGGCAUCACUUCUAGAGUAAAGGUUACGGUAUAAGAUGAGUAUGCGUUCUAUUAGUUUGUUGGUGUGGUAACGGCACACCAAGACUACGAUAGAUAGGGGCCCUGAGAGGGGGAUCCCCCACACUGGUACUGAGACACGGACCAGACUCCUACGGGAGGCAGCAGUGAGGAAUAUUGGACAAUGGAGGCAACUCUGAUCCAGCCAUGCCGCGUGCAGGAAGACUGCCCUAUGGGUUGUAAACUGCUUUUAUACAGGAAGAAACACCUCUACGUGUAGAGGCUUGACGGUACUGUAAGAAUAAGGAUCGGCUAACUCCGUGCCAGCAGCCGCGGUAAUACGGAGGAUCCAAGCGUUAUCCGGAAUCAUUGGGUUUAAAGGGUCCGUAGGUGGAUAAUUAAGUCAGAGGUGAAAUCUUGCAGCUCAACUGUAAAAUUGCCUUUGAAACUGGUUAUCUUGAGUUAUUAUGAAGUAGUUAGAAUAUGUAGUGUAGCGGUGAAAUGCAUAGAUAUUACAUAGAAUACCAAUGCCAAAGGCAGAUUACUAAUAAUCAACUGACACUGAUGGACGAAAGCGUGGGUAGCGAACAGGAUUAGAUACCCUGGUAGUCCACGCCGUAAACGAUGGUUACUAGCUGUUUGGACUUCGGUCUGAGUGGCUAAGCGAAAGUGAUAAGUAACCCACCUGGGGAGUACGUUCGCAAGAAUGAAACUCAAAGGAAUUGACGGGGGCCCGCACAAGCGGUGGAGCAUGUGGUUUAAUUCGAUGAUACGCGAGGAACCUUACCAGGGCUUAAAUGUAAGUUGCAUUAGUUAGAGAUAGCUAUUUCUUCGGACCACUUACAAGGUGCUGCAUGGUUGUCGUCAGCUCGUGCCGUGUGGUGUCAGGUUAAGUCCUAUAACGAGCGCAACCCCUGUUGUUAGUUGCCAGCGAGUCAUGUCGGGAACUCUAGCAAGACUGCCAGUGCAAACUGUGAGGAAGGUGGGGAUGACGUCAAAUCAUCACGGCCCUUACGUCCUGGGCUACACACGUGCUACAAUGGUAGGUACAGAGAGCAGCCACUGCGCGAGCAGGAGCGAAUCUAUAAAACCUAUCACAGUUCGGAUCGGAGUCUGCAACUCGACUCCGUGAAGCUGGAAUCGCUAGUAAUCGGAUAUCAGCCAUGAUCCGGUGAAUACGUUCCCGGGCCUUGUACACACCGCCCGUCAAGCCAUGGAAGUUGGAAGUGCCUGAAGUCCGUCACCGUAAGGAGCGGCCUAGGGUAAAGUCGAUAACUAGGGCUAAGUCGUAACAAGGUAACC
This 1480-nucleotide ribosomal RNA is filed under the name uncultured marine bacterium. Its description in RNAcentral is "bacterial SSU rRNA". It matches the Rfam family "Bacterial small subunit ribosomal RNA". The record is from RNAcentral.